GAUGAACGCUGGCGGCGUGCUUAACACAUGCAAGUCGAACGGAAAGGCUCCUGCUUGCAGGGGUACUCGAGUGGCGAACGGGUGAGUAACACGUGGGUGAUCUGCCCUGCACUUCGGGAUAAGCCGGGGAAACUGGGUCUAAUACCGGAUAGGACCACAUUUUGGAUGGUGUGGUGGAAAGUUUUUCGGUGUGGGAUGAGCUCGCGGCCUAUCAGCUUGUUGGUGGGGUAAUGGCCUACCAAGGCGUCGACGGGUAGCCGGCCUGAGAGGGUGUACGGCCACAUUGGGACUGAGAUACGGCCCAGACUCCUACGGGAGGCAGCAGUGGGGAAUAUUGCACAAUGGGCGCAAGCCUGAUGCAGCGACGCCGCGUGGGGGAUGGCGGCCUUCGGGUUGUAAACUCCCUUCGCUAGGGACGAAGCGCAAGUGACGGUACCUGGAGAAGAAGCACCGGCUAACUACGUG
Molecule: ribosomal RNA, 465 nt
Filed under: uncultured bacterium
Lineage: Bacteria
Description: partial 16S ribosomal RNA
Rfam family: Bacterial small subunit ribosomal RNA
Source: RNAcentral